UUAUACAACUUUCAACAACGGAUCUCUUGGCUCUCGCAUCGAUGAAGAACGCAGCGAAAUGCGAUAAGUAAUGUGAAUUGCAGAAUUCAGUGAAUCAUCGAAUCUUUGAACGCACCUUGCGCUCCUUGGUAUUCCGGGGAGCAUGCCUGUU
Molecule: ribosomal RNA, 151 nt
Filed under: Tricholoma matsutake
Lineage: Eukaryota; Fungi; Basidiomycota; Agaricomycetes; Agaricales; Tricholomataceae
Description: 5.8S rRNA
Rfam family: 5.8S ribosomal RNA
About the family: 5.8S ribosomal RNA (5.8S rRNA) is a component of the large subunit of the eukaryotic ribosome. It is transcribed by RNA polymerase I as part of the 45S precursor that also contains 18S and 28S rRNA.
Source: RNAcentral